GGUAUCAAAUCCAAACUCCUCCUCCUCUUCUUCUUCUUCCUUGCACAUGCUUAUAGGAGGAGGAGGAGGAGGAGUUUGGAUUUGAUACC
This 89-nucleotide microRNA precursor is filed under the name Podarcis lilfordi (Lilford's wall lizard). The record is from RNAcentral. Lineage: Eukaryota; Metazoa; Chordata; Lepidosauria; Squamata; Lacertidae.